GACGAACGCUGGCGGCGUGCUUAAUACAUGCAAGUCGAACGGUGAACCGGGCUUCGGCCCGGGGAUCAGUGGCGAACGAGUGCGUAACACGUGGGCAACCUGCCCCAGACACUGGGAUAACCCCGGGAAACCGGGGCUAAUACCGGAUACUCCGGCUGGAUCGCAUGGUCCGGCCGGGAAAGCUCCGACGGUCUGGGAUGGGCCCGCGGCCUAUCAGCUCGUUGGUGGGGUCACGGCCCACCAAGGCGACGACGGGUAGCUGGUCUGAGAGGACGACCAGCCACACUGGAACUGAGAUACGGUCCAGACUCCUACGGGAGGCAGCAGUAGGGAAUCUUGCACAAUGGGCGCAAGCCUGAUGCAGCGACGCCGCGUGGGGGACGAAGGCCCUCGGGUUGUAAACCCCUUUCGGCAGGGAAGAAGCGCAAGUGACGGUACCUGCAGAAGAAGCUCCGGCUAACUACGUGCCAGCAGCCGCGGUAAGACGUAGGGAGCGAGCGUUGUCCGGAUUCAUUGGGCGU
Molecule: ribosomal RNA, 521 nt
Filed under: uncultured bacterium
Lineage: Bacteria
Description: bacterial SSU rRNA
Rfam family: Bacterial small subunit ribosomal RNA
Source: RNAcentral